GUGAGGAAUUUUCCGCAAUGGGCGAAAGCCUGACGGAGCAAUGCCGCGUGAAGGAUGAAGGCCUAUGGGUUGUAAACUUCUUUUCUUAGAGAAGAAUAUUGACGGUAUCUGAGGAAUAAGCAUCGGCUAACUCUGUGCCAGCAGCCGCGGUAAGACAGAGGAUGCAAGCGUUAUCCGGAAUGAUUGGGCGUAAAGCGUCUGUAGGUGGCUUCAAAAGUCUCCUGUCAAAGAUCAUGGCUUAACCCUGGGCCGGCAGGCGAAACUCUGAGGCUAGAGUUUGGUAGGGGCAGAGGGAAUUCCCGGUGGAGCGGUGAAAUGCGUAGAGAUCGGGAGGAACACCAAAGGCGAAAGCACUCUGCUGGGCCACAACUGACACUGAGAGACGAAAGCGAGGGGAGCAAAAGGGAUUAGAAACCCCGGUAGUCC
Molecule: ribosomal RNA, 426 nt
Filed under: uncultured bacterium
Lineage: Bacteria
Description: partial 16S ribosomal RNA
Rfam family: Bacterial small subunit ribosomal RNA
Source: RNAcentral